RNAcentral lists this small nucleolar RNA (112 nucleotides) under Echinops telfairi (small Madagascar hedgehog). Its description in RNAcentral is "Small nucleolar RNA SNORA61 (ENSETEG00000026045.1)". The record is from RNAcentral. Lineage: Eukaryota; Metazoa; Chordata; Mammalia; Afrosoricida; Tenrecidae.
ACCCUCCAGUUUCUUACCCAUCAGAUGCAAUCGUUGGUCUGAGAGGUUAAGAGAGGAGGAAAAAUAAAAUCAAAACUGACCUCUGUGGCACAUGAGCUAGCUUCAAACAACU